UUUAAAGAGAGUUUGAUCCUGGCUCAGGACGAACGCUGGCGGCGUGCCUAAUACAUGCAAGUCGAACGAACGGAGGAAGAGCUUGCUCUUCCAAAGUUAGUGGCGGACGGGUGAGUAACACGUGGGCAACCUGCCUGUAAGU
Molecule: ribosomal RNA, 142 nt
Filed under: Listeria monocytogenes
Lineage: Bacteria; Bacillati; Bacillota; Bacilli; Caryophanales; Listeriaceae
Also listed under: 1 other name
Description: partial 16S ribosomal RNA
Rfam family: Bacterial small subunit ribosomal RNA
Source: RNAcentral